Molecule: long non-coding RNA, 1075 nt
Filed under: Mus spicilegus (steppe mouse)
Lineage: Eukaryota; Metazoa; Chordata; Mammalia; Rodentia; Muridae
Description: lncRNA (ENSMSIG00000010641.1)
Source: RNAcentral
UCAAAAACAAACAAACAUAAAACAAAACAAAACAAAACAAAACAAAAAACUUCCCCUUCAUCAAAACAAAUGAUUUUGGUCCAAUAGUAUAUCUUUCAAAAUGGCCAUAUUGAUGAGAAGAUCAAAAUGGCUCAUUGUGAGCCAUAUCAGACAGAGGCUUCAGCCACAGCACUGCCAACCCCAACUCGUUGCAAGGCAAGAUAUCCAUCCUGCUUUUGUCUACAUCUUUUUCUCUGUUAUCAUUUCUCUAGGUUCCAGAACUGGCUUCACAUGCCCUUGCCUCAGCCUAGAGGUUUCUCUACCAGGAAUCAAGGCUGGCACCUUCUACAGAGGGUUCUAGGACUAGGCAGGAAUCAACACAGUCUGGAAGAGUAAUGGAAGACCACAGUAUCCAUGAGCAAGAACCCAGGACAAGACACAGAACAUACUAUUCCAAGCCACGGAGUGGAGAAAGGUUUCUCAGUGUCUGCCCAGCAGACUGGCAGCAUCCACACCUCUUUUUGGUGAAAGAACACCAAUACUCUUUGCUACCACAAAUUAUGCAGCUGACUUUCCUGCCUUUGGAGGAGUCACAGGUUAACAUACCUACAGUGCAAUGGAUGAGCCUCACCUUGGGAAAAUCACCCUCAUGGUCAUGAGAUCUCCCCUGCCAGGUAAGUAUGUAUCCACACCUCUAGCAAGCUUGCUAGAAAUGCAUACUCUCAGGAUCCACCCAGGUAUAUAGAAUCACUCACUCUAGGGGUUGCAGCUGUGAUCUGCUUGAAUGGGUCCUGACAUGCUGGUCUAAGAAACACUGGCUGAGAAACAAGACUCAGGAUUCAACCUAGACAUUGUUGGGCCUGCCUAGCCACAUAGUGUUUAAGUCUCCUGUGUUUGUGCCAUUAACAGUAAAUCCUGUUUAACGUCUGUCUUCUCCUCUGAGCUCCUGGGACCUUGAUUCAAUUGUAUUUACUUUCCAAACUAACACGUGCACUGUGUCUGGCAUUGAGCUGAGACUCAAAUGCUUUUGAACUGCUAUCUUGAAGUUUUUUCAAAUGAUUAACUUAGUGCCAGAGAUGUCCCUACCUAUGCAACA